UUGACGUUAGCGGCGACGGGUGAGUAACACGUGGGUAACCUACCUAUAAGACUGGGAUAACUUCGGGAAACCGGAGCUAAUACCGGAUAAUAUUUCGAACCGCAUGGUUCGAUAGUGAAAGGUGGUUUUGCUAUCACUUAUAGAUGGACCCGCGCCGUAUUAGCUAGUUGGUAAGGUAACGGCUUACCAAGGCGACGAUACGUAGCCGACCUGAGAGGGUGAUCGGCCACACUGGAACUGAGACACGGUCCAGACUCCUACGGGAGGCAGCAG
RNAcentral lists this ribosomal RNA (273 nucleotides) under uncultured Staphylococcus sp. RNAcentral's name for it is "partial 16S ribosomal RNA". It matches the Rfam family "Bacterial small subunit ribosomal RNA", at positions 86 to 354 of the family's 1533-position model. The record is from RNAcentral. Lineage: Bacteria; Bacillati; Bacillota; Bacilli; Caryophanales; Staphylococcaceae.